ACGAACGCUGGCGGCGUGCUUAACACAUGCAAGUCGAACGGAAAGGCCCUGCUUUUGUGGGGUGCUCGAGUGGCGAACGGGUGAGUAACACGUGAGUAACCUGCCCUUGACUUUGGGAUAACUUCAGGAAACUGGGGCUAAUACCGGAUAGGAGUUCCUGCUGCAUGGUGGGGGUUGGAAAGUUUCGGCGGUUGGGGAUGGACUCGCGGCUUAUCAGCUUGUUGGUGGGGUAGUGGCUUACCAAGGCUUUGACGGGUAGCCGGCCUGAGAGGGUGACCGGCCACAUUGGGACUGAGAUACGGCCCAGACUCCUACGGGAGGCAGCAGUGGGGAAUAUUGCACAAUGGGCGGAAGCCUGAUGCAGCAACGCCGCGUGCGGGAUGACGGCCUUCGGGUUGUAAACCGCUUUCGCCUGUGACGAAGCGUGAGUGGCGGUAAUGGGUAAAGAAGCACCGGCUAACUACGUG
RNAcentral lists this ribosomal RNA (467 nucleotides) under uncultured bacterium. Its description in RNAcentral is "partial 16S ribosomal RNA". It matches the Rfam family "Bacterial small subunit ribosomal RNA", at positions 29 to 507 of the family's 1533-position model. The record is from RNAcentral.